This 697-nucleotide long non-coding RNA is filed under the name Mus caroli (Ryukyu mouse). RNAcentral's name for it is "lncRNA (MGP_CAROLIEiJ_G0006519.1)". The record is from RNAcentral. Lineage: Eukaryota; Metazoa; Chordata; Mammalia; Rodentia; Muridae.
ACUGGAUUUAAAAUCAUUCCCAGAAAGGUGUUUAUCUCUUAUCUGUUUUCAUGGAACACUUGCUUGAACCCUGCUAAAGACACACAAUCAUACUGAUGGACAACUGUAGUGUUUGAAAUGAGAGGUAUCCUCCAUAGGCUAUGUAUUUGAACACUUGUUUCCCAGUUGGUUAUGUUUAGAGAGGCUAUGAAUCUGUUAGGAGGUGUGACUCUGUUAAAGGAUGCCACACAGGGUGGUCAAUGAGAAUUUAGAGCCUUACCAAACUUCCAGUUCACUCUUCUGCUUCCCACAUGUGAAUGGAGAGUGACAUCUCAGCUUGCUGUUCUGGACACCUGCUGCCAUGCCUCCUGUAACUGGUUGAUCUGAUGCUGUUUGUAAUCCUCAAGUCUGCAGUCCAAUUCCCAACAAUGGUUCAGUAGUAGCUGUGAAUAGAAGUCCAAGCAUCUAGCAGUUACUCAGUCCCACAUGGCAAGCAGGCAAGGGAGCAAGAGCGAGACUCCCUUCUUCCAAUGUCCUUAUAUUGUCUCCAGCAGGUGUAGCCCAGAUUAAAGGUACACAGAGUCACAUCCAGCUUUUCUGGGACCCAAACUCAAGACCUCAUAAUGAGCAUCACAGAAGGCCCAUUCAGCCCAAGCUAUACAGUGGACUCCUUUAAAAAGCCAACCAACAAUAAUAAAUAGUGCUUGCCUUCCACUCU